UGCCCUGGCUGACACUUCUAUUGCAUUAUAGGUGAACAUUUGAAGGCUAAAGUUAAAACUUGCCAUCCCUCCAGCAGUCAGCCUACUCUUUAUGUUAUUCAAAUUGAUAAUUGCUAUUCACUGCAACUUGCCAACUUGUGCCUUUGCUCUUCUAAGGAACUGCGAAUUUCAUUAGUAACAAGAAUAAAACAAUCUGUACUUUUACAAACCUCAACAGGAAUCCCACCACUAGGUUACAAAGAAGCGCCGUUUCUACAACCCUUUAACUCAGCUUUCUAUAGUGGAAAUCCCUUGAAAAGAAUUACAGCCGUAAAGAUUGAAUAAUACAAUUACAAAAUUACAGGCAAUCAUGUACAUUUAUGUCCCAAUCGCAUAUGAUUUCCAUUUACUUCUCAAUGCCUUGCUGCAGAUAUUGUAUCAAGUCAUAGCCAGCAGUCGUCCACUUGUUGUAGGCAUCUGUGCACACACGAAUCAUGAAAUUGGCCGCUUCACGUUCACUCAUCUCAGGAUGAAAUCUCUUGCGAAGAUUUCCAAUUGGGUCACCCCUACUGAAGCAAGGUAGUCCGCUGUCUAACAUCAACAGCACAGUGUUGAUUAUCCCGUCCAUGUAACGACGGGCUGCAAGGUAUCCCUUGACACACAAACUUACAAAUUGGAACCAGGUUUCACUCUUCAUAACACCAGAUGGAUCUAGUAAUUGAGUCAUCUCAUGGCUCAGCUUGAAGUGUGCACUCUCAAAGCGCAUGUUUCCACCAGGUGAUAUUUCGAAGAUGAAACCGAAAUCAAUAUGAACUAGCCUCCCCAAAUUGUCAAAAAGAAGAUUCCCAUUGUGUCUAUCCUUUGGUUGAAGCAAAAGACUGGCAACUGCAUAACCAGCACUGCUAAUGAUGAAGUUCUCACGUGCUGCUUCAAAACUAUGAGAGCCUACAGGCCCAAAAUCUUGUUGAAAAAUCUCAUACAAACCACCAUCUGUUGUUUCACCCAUUUGACUUCUGCUCCGGGAAUUAGGCACAACCUCAAUAAUACCUCUCUCUGGGCCAGUUGGAAGAACUCCAUAUGGAAACAAAUAAAGAUUAAGUCCAACUGCUUCAAAUAUGUCUCUAAGUAGAGCUAUCACUUGAAGGGCAAGAACAUCUUGUCGACAAUCAUCUCCAACCUUGAAAAUGCAAGCUUGAGGCUUUAUAUCAUUGCGGUCACCAUCCCGGUCAACCACAUUAAACGUCACCAUUAUCGGAACUUUUGC
This 1243-nucleotide unclassified non-coding RNA is filed under the name Hevea brasiliensis (rubber tree). Lineage: Eukaryota; Viridiplantae; Streptophyta; Magnoliopsida; Malpighiales; Euphorbiaceae. The record is from RNAcentral.